RNAcentral lists this ribosomal RNA (429 nucleotides) under Gemmatimonadota bacterium. RNAcentral describes it as "Gemmatimonadetes bacterium partial 16S ribosomal RNA". It matches the Rfam family "Bacterial small subunit ribosomal RNA", at positions 355 to 776 of the family's 1533-position model. The record is from RNAcentral. Lineage: Bacteria; Pseudomonadati; Gemmatimonadota.
UAGGGAAUCUUCGGCAAUGGACGAAAGUCUGACCGAGCAACGCCGCGUGAGUGAAGAAGGUUUUCGGAUCGUAAAACUCUGUUGUUAGAGAAGAACAAGGACGUUAGUAACUGAACGUCCCCUGACGGUAUCUAACCAGAAAGCCACGGCUAACUACGUGCCAGCAGCCGCGGUAAUACGUAGGUGGCAAGCGUUGUCCGGAUUUAUUGGGCGUAAAGCGAGCGCAGGCGGUUUCUUAAGUCUGAUGUGAAAGCCCCCGGCUCAACCGGGGAGGGUCAUUGGAAACUGGGAGACUUGAGUGCAGAAGAGGAGAGUGGAAUUCCAUGUGUAGCGGUGAAAUGCGUAGAUAUAUGGAGGAACACCAGUGGAGAAGGCGGCUCUCUGGUCUGUAACUGACGCUGAGGCGCGAAAGCGUGGGGAGCAAACAGG